GCCUGGCUAGCUCAGUCACUAGAGCAUGAGACUCUUAUUCUCAGGGUCAUGGGUUUGAGCCCCACAUUGGNCA
Molecule: transfer RNA, 73 nt
Filed under: Neotoma lepida (desert woodrat)
Lineage: Eukaryota; Metazoa; Chordata; Mammalia; Rodentia; Cricetidae
Rfam family: tRNA
About the family: Transfer RNA (tRNA) molecules are approximately 80 nucleotides in length. Their secondary structure includes four short double-helical elements and three loops (D, anti-codon, and T loops).
Source: Rfam by way of RNAcentral